Clupea harengus (Atlantic herring) is the source of this 402-nucleotide non-coding RNA. Lineage: Eukaryota; Metazoa; Chordata; Actinopteri; Clupeiformes; Clupeidae. The record is from the annotation of a RefSeq genome assembly.
AUGACCCCUGACCCCUGCAUCUCUGCUGCUGCUGCUGCUGCCCCUGUUACUGCUGACAUUGUUCAUGGCCAGUCUCUGACCUCCUCUGGUCCAGUGGUGAAGAGACCUGGAGAGGCAGUCACUCUGUCCUGUACUGUUUCCGGGUUUUCCAUGAGCAGCUACAAUGUGCACUGGAUCCGUCAGAAACCAGGACAGGAACUGGAGUGGAUUGGGUAUAUUGGUACAUUUGCCCAGUCUCUCCAGGGCCAGUUCUCCAUCACCAAAGACAGUAACACAGUGCACUUACAAGUGAAAAGCCUGAAAGCUGAGGACACAGCUGUUUAUUAUUGCGCUCGACAGCCACAGUCACACAUGAGACUACAGAGCUGUACAAAAACAUCUCAGGCAGUUUUGACUGAUUGA